Carica papaya (papaya) is the source of this 737-nucleotide non-coding RNA. The record is from RefSeq and is a predicted model, not a curated record. Lineage: Eukaryota; Viridiplantae; Streptophyta; Magnoliopsida; Brassicales; Caricaceae.
GCUUCAGUAUGAGCCCAAUUGCAUUAAAAUUGCACAUUUUGUUAAGGGCGCAAGUUGUGAUAAAUACUGAAACACCAGUACUUAUCUCGCUUUCUACAUAAUUGCUACCACUGGAUUAGGCUGCUUUCCUUGGUUCACAAGUUAGUCAUGUUCUGCUUGUCGAGAAAAUUUUAAACGGUUUUGAACUGUUAUGUGCAGUUAUGCUGUCUUAAAAUUCUUAUUCAUGUGCAUCCAUGCAGGAGAGAAGAACCAGAAUUAGUGGGAAACUGAAGAAGCUACAAGAACUUGUUCCGAACAUGGAUAAGCAAACAAGCUACGCAGAUAUGCUGGACUUGGCAGUGCAACACAUCAAAGGCCUUCAAAAUCAAGUGCAGAAACUCCAUAAAGAACUUGGGAAUUGCACAUGUGGCUGCAAGCAAACAUCAUGACAUCUGCUAAUAGGGAAUCGAGACGCAAGUCGUUCUUGAUUCAUGGAGUUCGAAGGUAAUGGACUCAGACCAGUGGAGGCAAAUUUUAUAGUCUGAACAAACCUGACUUAAUAGCUCGAAGUAGAGAAGUAGAACUUUACAUUGUAUAUAUGUAUUAAAUGUUACUCUUGUUUUGUAGUUCAUCUGAGAAAGGAGUUGUUUAAACUGUGAAAAUGUAUGUAAAAUUCGGUCAUCUUAUACCCCUGAUUUUGAUUCAUCACAAUAAGUCCGGUGGACAAAAGUGUAAUAUUUAUGGAUUUUGUUAGCAAA